Molecule: non-coding RNA, 849 nt
Organism: Schizosaccharomyces pombe (fission yeast)
Lineage: Eukaryota; Fungi; Ascomycota; Schizosaccharomycetes; Schizosaccharomycetales; Schizosaccharomycetaceae
Source: the annotation of a GenBank genome assembly
AAACUGGUAGUACAAUAAGAAAAGUAAAUAAUUACUACGAUAGAAAAAAAUGAUCGUGCCAAGACUCGAACUUGGGACCGUCUGCGAACUAGCAUGUUAAGCAGAAAUUAUAACCAUCUAAACCACACGACCUCUUUUGAUAAUUGCUUGCAUUAAUUUUAUAUAGAGGUUAACCAAGGGAUCCAUUUACUUAUAUUAUUACGGAACUAUGUUAUUCGUUUUCCAUGAAAUGAACUUAAUAAGAAAAACUGUUUAUGUGCAGGAUUUUUUUGUUUCUUGUUAACCCAAGAUUUGCCAACGAUAAUUAUUCGAUGGAUUACUCAAGUAACUUUCUGCAUGAAGGAUGCCUGCAUGCCAUGAGCAGCAUCCAACAUUGUAUAACUUUUGCAUAAAGAAAAAGAUUUCAAUUGAGCCGCCAAUUUUAUUCUUUCAAAUUUUUAAUUUCGAUCAUUGUGACCAUUAUAAAAGUGAGAAAAAGCUGCUGAAAAAACCGGAACUUAAAAUAUUCUUUCUUUGGCUAGAUAACUUUGUAACUUGGAAAUCAAAACAUUGCUUUCAAAGAAUUUCUACAUCAUUGUUUGAUGCAGGACUAAAAUGGGUAUAGUACUGACUAAUCGCACUGUAAAAACCCAUACCAACCCGUCCAUAUCCAGUUUUGCGAUUGGGUUCAAUCGGUCAUUCAUAUAAUUGAUAGUACUUGCAUUCAAUUGAGUACUUGCGCUUCUUUAUAUCAAAGGCAUUUUAAAAUGUUUACAAAAUAGCGCUUUAUAGUGAACAACAGCAUAAUGAUUUUGAUGAUAGCAAUCACUAAACGACACCAGCCUUCUCAUGAUUACGACAUUCUUUGUA